This 555-nucleotide ribosomal RNA is filed under the name Malassezia furfur. RNAcentral describes it as "eukaryotic LSU rRNA". It matches the Rfam family "Eukaryotic large subunit ribosomal RNA", at positions 79 to 620 of the family's 3401-position model. Lineage: Eukaryota; Fungi; Basidiomycota; Malasseziomycetes; Malasseziales; Malasseziaceae. The record is from RNAcentral.
CCUAGUAACGGCGAGUGAAGAGGGAAGAGCUCAAAUUUGAAAGCUGGUACCUUCGGUAUCCGCGUUGUAACCUCGAGACACGUUUUCCGUGCGGCGCUAUGGACAAGUUCCUUGGAACAGGACAUCGUAGAGGGUGAAAAUCCCGUACUUGCCAUGGAUGUACCGUGCUUUGCGAUACGUGCUCUAAGAGUCGAGUUGUUUGGGAUUGCAGCUCAAAAUGGGUGGUAGACUCCAUCUAAAGCUAAAUAUCGGGGAGAGACCGAUAGCGAACAAGUACCGUGAGGGAAAGAUGAAAAGCACUUUGGAAAGAGAGUUAAAAGUACGUGAAAUUGUCGAAAGGGAAGCGCUUGAAGUCAGCCAUGCCGCUCAGGACUCAGCCUGGCUUUUGCUUGGUGUAUUUCCUGGGUAGCAAGUCAGCAUUGGUUUGGAUCGUCGGAGAAGCAUAGUCGGAAUGUGGCGCCCUCGGGCGUGUUAUAGCCUUCUAUUGGAUACGACGAUCUAGACCAAGGAACGCAGCGCGCCUUAUGGCGGGUCUUCGGACACCUUCGCGCUUAG